This 497-nucleotide ribosomal RNA is filed under the name uncultured bacterium. Its description in RNAcentral is "partial 16S ribosomal RNA". It matches the Rfam family "Bacterial small subunit ribosomal RNA", at positions 28 to 507 of the family's 1533-position model. The record is from RNAcentral.
GAUGAACGCUGGCGGCGUGCCUAAUACAUGCAAGUCGAGCGAACAGACGAGGAGCUUGCUGCUCUGACGUUAGCGGCAGACGGGUGAGUAACACGUGGAUAACCUACCUAUAAGACUGGGAUAACUUCGGGAAACCGGAGCUAAUACCGGAUAAUAUAUUGAACCGCGUGGUUCAAUGGUGAAAGACGGUUUUGCUGUCACUUAUAGAUGGAUCCGCGCCGCAUUAGCUAGUUGGUAAGGUAACGGCUUACCAAGGCAACGAGGCGUAGCCGACCUGAGAGGGUGAUCGGCCACCCGGGAACUGAGACACGGUCCAGACUCCUACGGGAGGCAGCAGUAGGGAAUCUUCCGCAAUGGGCGAAAGCUUGACGGAGCAACGCGGCGUGAGUGAUGAAGGUCUUCGGAUCGUAAAACUCUGUUAUUAGGGAAGAACAACUGUGUAAGUAACUAUGCACGUCUUGACGGUACCUAAUCAGAAAGCCACGGCUAACUACGUG